Non-coding RNA from Arachis ipaensis, 1756 nucleotides. NCBI's taxonomy places the organism in Eukaryota, Viridiplantae, Streptophyta, Magnoliopsida, Fabales, Fabaceae. The record is from RefSeq and is a predicted model, not a curated record.
AAUUGAAAAGAAUUAUGGUGCCUACUAAUGGACUUUAUCCGGUAAGUCCACGUGACUUUGUUCGUGGCAGGUAAGUGAUGUCUCUCUCUUUCUUAUUGCGGCGGUUUUGACAGUACUCACUGCUCUGAUCGAUGAGUUUAUUUUGUUUCACACUUACUUUCCCUUGUCUGGGAAGGAAUCAAGAAUAGUGGUUGAUCGUCCUUCAGGUACUCUCGAAAUCAAACAGAUGCUCAAAGAUUCCUCUGAAGAUCAGGAAUUAAGUAAUAUGAAGGUUAGAAAUUAUGAUGCAGCAGAAAGUGUAGCUCAGAGCUUAAGGAAUAGUCAUGAGGAAUCAGCUAAGGUUUCUUCAUUUCCAUUGGAUUUGGGUAGCGGUUUGUGCCCCGUGGAUUCUCUUGAACCAACUUCUAUUAAGGAAGCUGGAAACUUUUUCUUGGUUCAUAAAGUAACCCAGUCCUCACCUUCCCCUGCAAUGUGUUUUGUGGCAAAGGUUCCUCAAGAUGAACAAGAAUCUCAUAUUGUAGCUUUUAGUUCAGAAGAUGGAUCCCGGAAGUUGGAUGACGAGUCGACUUCAUCUAGGACCAUAGGUGUACGGGAUGUACAUAUUUCGAUGCGGUUAAUGGAGGACUUCCUCCAUCUUGCUAAAGAAAAUACAGAAAAGGAUGUGGAAACUUGUGGCAUACUUGGUGCUGUACACGAGAAUGGAACCCUCUAUAUGACUACUCUGAUCAUACCUAAGCAAGAAUCAGCUUCCAAUUCUUGUCAAGCUACAAAUGAGGAGGAAGUUUUCAAAAUUCUAAAUGAAAGAUCUCUUUAUCCUGUGGGAUGGAUCCAUACACAUCCUUCUCAAAGUUGUUUCAUGUCAUCAGUGGAUCUGCACACUCAAUAUUCCUACCAGGUGAUUGACCGAAGUAUCAUGUACUAUUCCUUGCCCUUUUUCUUUCUUGUUAAAGGAUUUCUUUGUUCAAUAACUUCACAUCCGGAUAUGAAUGUCAUACAUGUUCAAAACAUUUUACCGUGUGAAUCAAAUUGAAAUUUGAUUAGCACCAUGACUAAAAUUUGAUAGCAGUUUACUUAUACUUUGUGAAAGUGCUACACCAUGACUGAAUAUUCCUUCUAACAAUGACUCAAUGAAUUGCAGGUGAUAAUAUUAAUCAAAGUAACUCUUAAACUGACUUGAAAUAUAUUCAAACUUUUCCCUUUAUACAUUGCUGUUUAACUCACUGUUUGGCUUUGAUGUAUCAGAUGAUGAUUCCUGAGGCAUUUGCCAUUGUCCUAGCUCCUACAGAUACCUCAAGGAGCUGUGGACUAUUUCGCCUAACUGACCCUGAAGGAAUGAAUAUACUAAAGAAUUGCAUGGACAAAGGAUUCCAUCCACACAAAGACCCUGAUAAUGGCAACCCCUUGUAUGAACAUUGCUCCAAUGUCUACAAGAACUCCAAUCUAAGGUUUGAAAUAUUCGAUUUACGCUAAACUCUGAUUUUGAUGUCAGCACACACUGUUCUUUGACAUAGAUGGAGUACCAUUAGUUAAUUACCAUAAGAAUAUCCUAGUAUCUCUUUUUUUUUUUAAUUAAAAAAUGUUAUUUAAUACAAGUUGAACCUAUAAUUUCAUACAAAUUACUCAAGUCCUCAACAUUAACCGAAAUCUGAAUGCUUGAGGCUUGUCCUAGUUACACUCGACAUUUUGAUGCUGAUGUAAUAAUGUUGUAAUAAUGUUAGUUAGCUUUUUAAUGCUACUCUCCUGUAGUUUAAUGUUU